UCGGGAAUAUUCCACAAUGGGCGAAAGCCUGAUGGAGCGACGCCGCGUGAGUGAUGAAGGUCUUCGGAUCGUAAAGCUCUGUUACCAGGGACGAAAAAAGACGGUACCUGGGGAGGAAGCCACGGCUAACUACGUGCCAGCAGCCGCGGUAAUACGUAGGUGGCGAGCGUUGUCCGGAAUUAUUGGGCGUAAAGGGCGCGUAGGCGGUCAUUUAAGUCAGGUGUGAAAGCCCCCGGCUCAACUGGGGAGCGUCAUUUGAUACUGGGUGACUAGAGUGCAGGAGAGGAAAGUGGAAUUCCAUGUGUAGCGGUGAAAUGCGUAGAUAUAUGGAGGAACACCCGUGGCGAAGGCGGCUUUCUGGACUGCAACUGACGCUGAGGCGCGAAAGCUGGGGGAGCGA
RNAcentral lists this ribosomal RNA (400 nucleotides) under uncultured bacterium. RNAcentral describes it as "bacterial SSU rRNA". It matches the Rfam family "Bacterial small subunit ribosomal RNA", at positions 355 to 771 of the family's 1533-position model. The record is from RNAcentral.